ACCCGCUCUAGCCCUCAAAAUYCUAACACAAAUCAAAUAAAUUACACUAAACCAAAACAUUUUUAUGCCUAAGUAUCGGUGAGAGAAAAGACAACAGGCGCAAUAGAGACAGUACCGCAAGGGAAAGAUGAAAUAAAAAUUUAACACAAAAGUACAGCACAGCAAAGAUUAACCCUUUUACCUUUUGCAUUAUGGUUUAGCCAAACAUAACCGUGGCAAAGAGCACUAAAGUCACCUACACCCGAAUCUGGGCGAGCUACUAGCCAGCAGAAGUAAUACAGCACCAACCCAUCUCUGUGGCAAAAGAGCGGGAAGACUGACUAGUAGAAGUGAAAAGCCUAACGAGCCCAGUGAUAGCUGGUUGCUUGGGAAUAGAAUAUAAGUUCUACUGAAAACCUUCUGAUUCACCACMAAUAAAGGACAAAGAAAGUUUUCAAGAUAUUUAAUGGGGGUACAGCCCCAUUAACACAGGACUCAACCUCUACCUAAGGGUAAAACCAAUUCGCACCUUAAAUGUAGGCUUUAAAGCAGCCAGCACAACGAAAGCGUCAAAGCUCGCACCAAAAAAAUACCUACAACAAAAUUAAACCCUACAACAYWACCAAGCCUUUCUAAAACAUUAGAAGAGAUUAUGCUAAAAUUAGUAACAAGAACCUUGAUCUUCUCCUGGGCGCUAGCCUACACUACUCAUGACACACUAUUGGUAAUUAACACCCUACCCAUCUGCCACAAACAUAAGGGACACACACUGUUAACCCAACACAGGAGCGCAGCAGGAAAGGCUAAACCCUGCAAAAGGAACUCGGCAAACAAAGAUUCCGACUGUUUACCAAAAACACAGCCCCCAGCCUCCCAAGUAUUGGGGGUGAUGCCUGCCCAAUGACUUUAAGUUAAAUGGCCGCGGUAUCUACAACCGUGCGAAGGUAGCGUAAUCAUUUGUUCUUUAAAUAAGGACCAGUAUGAAAGGCUAAACGAGAAUCUAUCUGUCUCUUGCAGAAGGCCAGUGAAAUUGAUCCCCCUGUGCAAAAGCAGGGAUGUCAACAUUAGACGAGAAGACCCUGUGAAACUUUAAACCACUAAAUCACAAAAAAUUGUAAAAUAUCACCCCAAGCGGACUAACUACAAUUAACACACUGAUUUAGCGUUUUCGGUUGGGGCGACCCCAAAAUAAAAAAAACUUUCCAGGAAAACAGUAACAUGACACUUACUGACCAAGACCUACACCACAAAGUGCUUAAAUGUAAUCAGAUCCGGCACACGCCGAUUCAUGAACUAAGCUACUCCAGGGAUAACAGCGCAAUCCCCUUCAAGAGCCCAUAUCGACAAGGGGGUUUACGACCUCGAUGUUGGAUCAGGACAUCCUAAUGGUGUAACCGCUAUUAAUGGUUCGUUUGUUCAACGAUUAAAGUCCUACGUGAUCUGAGUUCAGACCGGAGCAAUCCAGGUCGGUUUCUAUCUAUGAAUGCGAACCUUUCUAGUACGAAAGGACCGAAAGAGCAGGGCCCAUGCCACUAAAGUAAGCCUUACCUAAAGAUUAAUGAAAACAACUAAAUUAACAACCAGGACAAUCACACCCCGCCUCAAUACAAGAGGAA
This 1595-nucleotide ribosomal RNA is filed under the name Crocodylus suchus (West African crocodile). RNAcentral describes it as "16S ribosomal RNA". The record is from RNAcentral. Lineage: Eukaryota; Metazoa; Chordata; Crocodylia; Crocodylidae.